CCUACGGGUGGCAGCAGUGGGGAAUAUUGGGCAAUGGGCGCAAGCCUGACCCAGCAACGCCGCGUGAAGGAAGAAGGCUUUCGGGUUGUAAACUUCUUUUGUCAGGGAGCAACGCCGGCUACGUGUAGCCGGACUGAGAGUACCUGAAGAAAAAGCAUCGGCUAACUCCGUGCCAGCAGCCGCGGUAAUACGGAGGAUGCGAGCGUUAUCCGGAUUUAUUGGGUUUAAAGGGUGCGUAGGCGGAAUGCCAAGUCAGCGGUAAAAUCGCGGGGCUCAACCUCGCUCCGCCGUUGAAACUGGCGUUCUUGAGUGGGCGAGAAGUAUGCGGAAUGCGUGGUGUAGCGGUGAAAUGCAUAGAUAUCACGCAGAACUCCGAUUGCGAAGGCAGCAUACCGGCGCCCAACUGACGCUGAAGCACGAAAGCGUGGGUAUCGAACAGGAUUAGAUACCCUAGUAGUC
This 459-nucleotide ribosomal RNA is filed under the name uncultured bacterium. Its description in RNAcentral is "partial 16S ribosomal RNA". It matches the Rfam family "Bacterial small subunit ribosomal RNA", at positions 338 to 795 of the family's 1533-position model. The record is from RNAcentral.